Molecule: ribosomal RNA, 253 nt
Filed under: uncultured bacterium
Lineage: Bacteria
Description: partial 16S ribosomal RNA
Rfam family: Bacterial small subunit ribosomal RNA
Source: RNAcentral
UACAGGGGGUGCAACCGUUGCUCGGAAUCAUUGGGCGUAAAGCGCACGUAGGCGGUCUGUUAUGUCGGAUGUGAAAGCCCUUGGCUUAACUGAGGAAGUGCAUCCGAAACUGGCAGGCUAGAGUACUAAAGAGGGUCGCGGAAUUCCCGGUGUAGAGGUGAAAUUCGUAGAUAUCGGGAGGAACACCGGUGGCGAAGGCGGCGACCUGGGUAGAUACUGACGCUGAGGUGCGAAAGCGUGGGUAGCAAACAGG